This 1225-nucleotide ribosomal RNA is filed under the name metagenome. RNAcentral's name for it is "bacterial LSU rRNA". It matches the Rfam family "Bacterial large subunit ribosomal RNA", at positions 1717 to 2925 of the family's 2925-position model. The record is from RNAcentral.
GCAAAUUGACACCGUAACUUCGGGAGAAGGUGUGCCGCUGGCGGUUAGUGACUUCGCGUCACGAAGCUGUCGGUGGUCGCAGUGAAAUGGCGGUUGUGACUGUUUACUAAAAACACAGGACUCUGCGAAGUCGUAAGACGACGUAUAGGGUCUGAUGCCUGCCCGGUGCUGGAAGGUUAAGGGGAUAUGUCAGCGCAAGCGAAGCAUUGAACCGAAGCCCCAGUAAACGGCGGCCGUAACGAUAACGGUCCUAAGGUAGCGAAAUUCCUUGUCGGGUAAGUUCCGAUCUGCACGAGGGCAUAACAACAUCCGCACUGUCUCGACCAGGGACUCAGCGAAAUUACAUUGGGGGUGAAGAUGCCCUCUACCCGCGGAAAGACGGAAAGACCCCAUGAACCUUUACUGCAACUUGGCAGUGAUUUUCGGGUUGUUCUGCGUAGGAUAGGUGGGAGGCUUUGAAGCCGGGCUUCCGGGUUCGGCAGAGCCAACGUUGAAAUACCACCCUGAAUAAUCUGGAAAUCUAACCUGCGCCCAUGAUCUGGGCGAGGGACACUGCCUGGUGGGCAGUUUGACUGGGGCGGUCGCCUCCUAAAUUGUAACGGAGGCGUGCGACGGUUCCCUCAGGCUGAUUGGAAACCAGCCGUAGAGUGCAAACGCAUAAGGGAGCUUUACUGCGAGACUGACAAGUCGAACAGUUGCGAAAGCAGGUGUUAGUGAUCCGGUGGUACCACAUGGAAGGGCCAUCGCUCAUCGGAUAAAAGGUACUCUGGGGAUAACAGGCUGAUCGCGCCUGAGAGUUCACAUCGGCGGCGCGGUUUGGCACCUCGAUGUCGGCUCAUCGCAUCCUGGGGCUGGAGCAGGUCCCAAGGGUUUGGCUGUUCGCCAAUUAAAGCGGUACGCGAGCUGGGUUUAAAACGUCGUGAGACAGUUUGGUCCCUAUCUUCCGUGGGCGCAGGACACUUGAGAGGAGCUAUCCAUAGUACGAGAGGACCUGGAUGGACGAACCUCUGGUGCUCCGGUUGUCACGCCAGUGGCAUAGCCGGGUAGCCAUGUUCGGAACAGAUAACCGCUGAAGGCAUAUAAGCGGGAAGCUGGCCUCAAGACUAGGUGUCCCUGACGCAAGUCACUAAAGGCCCCUCGAAGACUACGAGGUUGAUAGGCUCGGUGUGGAAGCGCUGCGAGGCGUGGAGCUAACGAGUACUAAUAGGCCGUGCGACUUGACCUC